This 332-nucleotide long non-coding RNA is filed under the name Monodelphis domestica (gray short-tailed opossum). Its description in RNAcentral is "lncRNA (ENSMODG00000046910.1)". Lineage: Eukaryota; Metazoa; Chordata; Mammalia; Didelphimorphia; Didelphidae. The record is from RNAcentral.
UGGAAGGAUCUGGGCAGGGAUCACUGAUUUAGUCAGAUGAAAUUAACAAGUACUUAUUAAAUGAUUUCUUCAUGCCAGGACCCUUGUGAAAGGAAAUAGGACUGCUUCUGAUUAUGUGGAUAUCUGAAUAACCAUAAGGAUCCCAAGGAAUGAUACGACUUUGAAAUCUUAAAAAAUGCUGUGAAAACUAUACUUCCCAUCAGCCAGGAAAAACAACAACAACAACAAAAUAAGCUUCAACCUUCAUCAGAUUACCUGAAAGUAGAGCCAAAGUCAAGGUACUCCUAAAAUCUGAAGAGAAAGAGCCAAAAAACCCCAAGCCUAAAUCCAAC